Non-coding RNA from Nelumbo nucifera (sacred lotus), 641 nucleotides. NCBI's taxonomy places the organism in Eukaryota, Viridiplantae, Streptophyta, Magnoliopsida, Proteales, Nelumbonaceae. The record is from RefSeq and is a predicted model, not a curated record.
CUUUUAUAACCACCUCGCGCACUCACUUCCAGGCUUCUGUCAGAUCGGGCCUGACUAUCUCUGAGCUCCUGCCAGUUUGGAUGUCAUCCCUUCUGGCCGGGCAGAACCGCCACUGCUCCUUUUGUCAGAGCCGUUUCUGCGGCUGGUGACGACGGUGGCAGGUGGCGGCGGCAGGAGGCCGUUUGAAGUGCGGCUGUCAAGCAUCAGAUCCCAAAUCAGUCAAGUGCGCCGCCCUUGGAAACGGACAUCCUUGGUGUCAGGUAUGGUACGCUUGGUCAGUCUGGCGUUUUGGAGGCGAAGUGCCGAAGUAACGGGGGGGAUAAAGUCUUGAGUUCGGUUUGGGGAGUGUUCCGAGCUGCCAUGGGCCAGCUCGGGUCACGGCUUUGUGAGGUUUAGGGCCCAGGAGAGAGUUCGGGCUCCUUGCAGGGAGCUCGGGUCCUUAGUAGUGAGCUCGGGCUCCUAGCAGGGAGCUCGGGUUCUUAGUAGGGAGCUCGUGCUCCUGGACUGUUGGUUUUCUUUUGGUGCUUGUGUUUUGGGCGCUCUGUUGCCCCGAGCUGUUUGCUUUUGCCACGCGUCGAGUGAUGGCGAGGUCGGGCCAAAUUUCCCUUCAUCACAAACAAAUAAGACAGCCAAAUCUAAAG